RNAcentral lists this ribosomal RNA (732 nucleotides) under Strasseria geniculata. RNAcentral describes it as "partial large subunit ribosomal RNA". It matches the Rfam family "Bacterial large subunit ribosomal RNA", at positions 884 to 1661 of the family's 2925-position model. The record is from RNAcentral. Lineage: Eukaryota; Fungi; Ascomycota; Leotiomycetes; Phacidiales; Phacidiaceae.
UAAAAUAUAAAAUUCCAGGUAUUUUUUGCAUAUAUCGGGGAAUCGUGAAGAUUUUAUCGGUGAGUAUUCGCACUCGGAAGGGCAAUGAUGAAUAUUGAAUAAUCGGACAUAGUACGCUAAGGUUGUAUGUCUAAAGGGAAACAGCCCAGAACAAGAGUUAAGGUUCCAAAAUUAUUGUUAAGUGAAAUUAAGGAAGUUAAUAUUUUAUACGACUAGGAAAUAGGCUUAGAAGCGGCCAUUUUUUGAAGACCUCGUAACAGAGCACUGGUUUAGUAAAUUAAUUUAAAUUUAUAUAUAUAUUCGCACCGAAAAUUUAACGGAUCUAAACAAUAUACCGACACCUUGUCCACACUUAUAAUAGUAAAUAUUAUUAUAAUUGGUGGGGUAGCAGAACGUUGGGUAAAUCUUAGACUUAUUCUUUUUAAGAUUAAUGAUUAGAUAACCCAAGUGAGAAUGCUGACAUGAGUAACGAAAAAGGGAAUCAUAUCCCUCGCCUAAAGCUUAUGGAUUUAUAUAAAGUAACGGCCUCUAAGUUUACUUACCUAAAGGAUUAAACGAUGAGUAAAUCUUGUUUACAAAGUAACAACCUUUAUAAAGUGAUAAAGUGUUCUGGAAAAACCGUAAACAUUUUCUCGCUUUGCGUGUUUAAAGCUCUGCUUUAACAAAUAAACCAAUAAACUAAAGAGAUGAGGAAUAUUAGAAAAUACAUAACCGUACCUAGAAUCUACCACA